UGGGGGAAUAUUGCACAAUGGGGGGAAACCCUGAUGCAGCGACGCCGCGUGAGUGAAGAAGUAUUUCGGUAUGUAAAGCUCUAUCAGCAGGGAAGAAGAUGACGGUACCUGACUAAGAAGCCCCGGCUAACUACGUGCCAGCAGCCGCGGUAAUACGUAGGGGGCAAGCGUUAUCCGGAUUUACUGGGUGUAAAGGGAGCGUAGACGGCCAGGUAAGUCAGGUGUGAAAGCCCGGGGCUCAACCCCGGGACUGCACUUGAAACUAUCUGGCUAGAGUGUCGGAGAGGUAAGUGGAAUUCCUAGUGUAGCGGUGAAAUGCGUAGAUAUUAGGGGGAACACCAGUGGCGAAGGCGACUUACUGGACGAUAACUGACGUUGAGGCUCGAAAGCGU
This 392-nucleotide ribosomal RNA is filed under the name uncultured Clostridium sp. Its description in RNAcentral is "bacterial SSU rRNA". It matches the Rfam family "Bacterial small subunit ribosomal RNA", at positions 354 to 762 of the family's 1533-position model. Lineage: Bacteria; Bacillati; Bacillota; Clostridia; Eubacteriales; Clostridiaceae. The record is from RNAcentral.